This 162-nucleotide ribosomal RNA is filed under the name Hormathophylla spinosa. RNAcentral's name for it is "5.8S ribosomal RNA". It matches the Rfam family "5.8S ribosomal RNA". Rfam says of the family: 5.8S ribosomal RNA (5.8S rRNA) is a component of the large subunit of the eukaryotic ribosome. It is transcribed by RNA polymerase I as part of the 45S precursor that also contains 18S and 28S rRNA. The record is from RNAcentral. Lineage: Eukaryota; Viridiplantae; Streptophyta; Magnoliopsida; Brassicales; Brassicaceae. RNAcentral also lists the same sequence under 9 other names.
AAAACGACUCUCGGCAACGGAUAUCUCGGCUCUCGCAUCGAUGAAGAACGUAGCGAAAUGCGAUACUUGGUGUGAAUUGCAGAAUCCCGUGAACCAUCGAGUCUUUGAACGCAAGUUGCGCCCCAAGCCUCCGGGCCGAGGGCACGUCUGCCUGGGUGUCAC